CCGACUACGUCUGUGUCACAUCUCAAUGGCAAUACGGCUCCUCCUGCCAUCCCCUCGGAGACGGGGUCUACCUGGUUCCAUGGAAACGACGGCCUCAGUGGGCGAUGUCAAAUACAGACCAGCACCAGAACCAGCAGAGCGAGGAGAGGGACCUGUGGACUUUGUUCUUCCCCCGCCAGGAGCAGCGUCUGCUGGCUGGCUCCGUGGCGGCUCACCAAGCCCUCCUGCCACCUCAAGGUGCUCCAGCUGACCAAGGCCUGCGUGACCUGGGUGGCCAGGCACUGGACAGCCGCCGGGGGCGCUCUGGAGGUCAGUCUCUUCCUCCUACACACUGAAGACGGCCUGGCUGCGUCUGCUACUCAGCUCUCCUGCAGAGGCCUGGGAGGAUCGCCAUCUGGUGGCCAGGAUGGAGGAGCUGGUCCGCAGCCUGAGGGAGAGCCUCCAGAACCGGGCUCUGGAUCACCUCUUCCUGGGGAGCGACAGCGGCUCCAUCCUACCUGACUCUGUGACUCUACCUAAGUUGGUCAAGGAGGUGGUGGGAGCUCCAGUGGGGGGUCCAGUMGAGGGUUCGGGGGGACGUUUGGGGGGUUCGGCAGGGAACCUCUGGGCAGGUGUGGACCCAGCCUCAUUGGACCUAGUGUCUGGCCGGUUGGCGUAUGCCUGGAGCCAUCUCCACCGGCUGAUCAGGUUGGGCCGACCCCAGAGGAGUAGCUUGGGGCUGGGCAGGGCAGGAAACAUAAACUGCCAGCAUCUGCAACCUGGAGAGUAACCAACUUAUCUUUUCUGGAAACGAAUGAAAGGAUUACAGGUGAAAWCAGAGGUUAAUAUCCUCCAACAACAGACCCAGUCAAACAGAGAGAUACAUAGACAGACAGGAUGGAGGAAACAUCAGACUACUUGCUCAUCCAAAGGUUGUACAGGAGCUACUGGUCUAGAAUAAAAAAAGAAAGCCUAUAACAGUGAUGGGACGUUCUCUGAGUCGUCCCUCUUAACCAUGAAUGGAAAUCAGAGGGAAUGUGUGAAUUUGUAAUUUAUGAAUUUGUAAUUUAUGAAUUUGUAAUUUAUGAAUUUGUAAUGAAUACAUGUGUAAUUUUUCCCCGGUACAUAAUGAAUGAGGUUUCAUUCAAAA
Non-coding RNA from Salvelinus sp. IW2-2015, 1129 nucleotides. The record is from RefSeq and is a predicted model, not a curated record. Lineage: Eukaryota; Metazoa; Chordata; Actinopteri; Salmoniformes; Salmonidae.